GACGAACGCUGGCGGCGUGCUUAACACAUGCAAGUCGAACGGAAAGGCCCUGCUGUUGUGGGGUGCUCGAAUGGCGAAAGGAUGAGUAACACGUGAGUAACCUGCCCUUGACUUUGGGAUAACUUCAGGAAACUGGGGCUAAUACCGGAUAGGAGCUCCUGCUGCAUGGUGGGGGUUGGAAAGUUUCGGCGGUUGGGGAUGGACGCGCGGCUUAUCAGCUUGGUGGUGGGGUAGUGGCUUACCAAGGCUUUGACGGGUAGCCGGCCUGGGAGGGUGACCGGCCACAUUGGGACUGAGAUACGGCCCAGACUCCUACGGGAGGCAGCAGGGGGGAAUAAUGCACAAUGGGCGGAAGCCUGAUGCAGCAACGCCGCGUGCGGGAUGACGGCCUUCGGGUUGUAAACCGCUUUCGCCUGUGACGAAGCGUGAGUGACGGUAAUGGGUAAAGAAGCACCGGCUAACUACGUG
This 468-nucleotide ribosomal RNA is filed under the name uncultured bacterium. Its description in RNAcentral is "partial 16S ribosomal RNA". It matches the Rfam family "Bacterial small subunit ribosomal RNA", at positions 28 to 507 of the family's 1533-position model. The record is from RNAcentral.